RNAcentral lists this ribosomal RNA (253 nucleotides) under uncultured bacterium. RNAcentral describes it as "partial 16S ribosomal RNA". It matches the Rfam family "Bacterial small subunit ribosomal RNA", at positions 524 to 776 of the family's 1533-position model. The record is from RNAcentral.
UACAGAGGGGGCAAGCGUUGUUCGGAAUUACUGGGCGUAAAGGGCGCGUAGGUGGCCUGUUAAGUCGAACGUGAAAUCCCUGGGCUCAACCCAGGAACUGCGUCCGAUACUGGCAGGCUUGAAUCCGGGAGAGGGAUGCGGAAUUCCAGGUGUAGCGGUGAAAUGCGUAGAUAUCUGGAGGAACACCGGUGGCGAAGGCGGCAUCCUGGACCGGCAUUGACGCUGAGGCGCGAAAGCCAGGGGAGCAAACGGG